This 253-nucleotide ribosomal RNA is filed under the name uncultured bacterium. RNAcentral describes it as "partial 16S ribosomal RNA". It matches the Rfam family "Bacterial small subunit ribosomal RNA", at positions 524 to 776 of the family's 1533-position model. The record is from RNAcentral.
UACGAAGGGUGCAAGCGUUACUCGGAAUUACUGGGCGUAAAGCGUGCGUAGGCGGUUUGUUAAGUCUGUUGUGAAAGCCCCGGGCUUAACCUGGGAAUGGCAAUGGAUACUGGCAGGCUAGAGUGCGGUAGAGGGUAGUGGAAUUCCCGGUGUAGCGGUGAAAUGCGUAGAGAUCGGGAGGAACACCAGUGGCGAAGGCGGCUACCUGGACCAGCACUGACACUGAGGCACGAAAGCGUGGGGAGCAAACAGG